GACGAACGCUGGCGGCGUGCUUAACGCAUGCAAGUCGAACGGAAAGGCCCUGCUUUUGUGGGGUGCUCGAGUGGCGAACGGGUGAGUAACACGUGAGUAACCUGCCCUUGACUUUGGGAUAACUUCAGGAAACUGGGGCUAAUACCGGAUAGGAGCUCCUGCUGCAUGGUGGGGGUUGGAAAGUUUCGGCGGUUGGGGAUGGACUCGCGGCUUAUCAGCUUGUUGGUGGGGCAGUGGCUUACCAAGGCUUUGACGGGUAGCCGGCCUGAGAGGGUGACCGGCCACAUUGGGACUGAGAUACGGCCCAGACUCCUACGGGAGGCAGCAGUGGGGAAUAUUGCACAAUGGGCGGAAGCCUGAUGCAGCAACGCCGCGUGCGGGAUGACGGCCUUCGGGUUGUAAACCGCUUUCGCCUGUGACGAAGCGUGAGUGACGGUAAUGGGUAAAGAAGCACCGGCUAACUACGUG
RNAcentral lists this ribosomal RNA (468 nucleotides) under uncultured bacterium. RNAcentral's name for it is "partial 16S ribosomal RNA". It matches the Rfam family "Bacterial small subunit ribosomal RNA", at positions 28 to 507 of the family's 1533-position model. The record is from RNAcentral.